Molecule: non-coding RNA, 184 nt
Organism: Phlebotomus papatasi
Lineage: Eukaryota; Metazoa; Arthropoda; Insecta; Diptera; Psychodidae
Source: Rfam
AAAAUACUCCCUCCGUUCCGAAAUAAGUCAUACGUUUGGGAAAAAUUCUUGUUCCGAAAUAUUUCAUACGUUUGGGAAAAAAUUGGGAUUAAGGGAAAGUUUGUUGGUAAAUGUUUUGUGUUUUAUUUCGGAACAAGAAUUUUUCCCAAACGUAUGACUUAUUUCGGAACGGAGGGAGUAUUUU